GUUUGAGACCCCUGACUUAUACUAAAAUUGAAGCGAUACAGAGAAGAUUAGCAUGGCCCCUGAGCAAGGAUGACAGAAUUCUCUUAAAAUGUAUAUUUUGUGUGU
Small nuclear RNA from Suncus etruscus (white-toothed pygmy shrew), 105 nucleotides. Lineage: Eukaryota; Metazoa; Chordata; Mammalia; Eulipotyphla; Soricidae. The record is from RefSeq and is a predicted model, not a curated record.